AGAGUUUGAUCCUGGCUCAGGACGAACGCUGGCGGCGCGCCUAACACAUGCAAGUCGAACGAGCGAGAGAGAGCUUGCUUUCUCGAGCGAGUGGCGAACGGGUGAGUAACGCGUGAGGAAUCUGCCUCAAAGAGGGGGACAACAGUUGGAAACGACUGCUAAUACCGCAUAAGCCCACGGCUCGGCAUCGAGCAGAGGGAAAAGGAGCAAUCCGCUUUGAGAUGGCCCCGCGUCCGAUUAGCUAGUUGGUGAGGUAAUGGCCCACCAAGGCGACGAUCGGUAGCCGGACUGAGAGGUUGAACGGCCACAUUGGGACUGAGACACGGCCCAGACUCCUACGGGAGGCAGCAGUGGGGAAUAUUGCACAAUGGGGGAAACCCUGAUGCAGCGACGCCGCGUGGAGGAAGAAGGUCUUCGGAUUGUAAACUCCUGUUGUUGAGGAAGAUAAUGACGGUACUCAACAAGGAAGUGACGGCUAACUACGUGCCAGCAGCCGCGGUAAAACGUAGGUCACAAGCGUUGUCCGGAAUUACUGGGUGUAAAGGGAGCGCAGGUGGGAAGACAAGUUGGAAGUGAAAUCUAUGGGCUCAACCCAUAAACUGCUUUCAAAACUGUUUUUCUUGAGUAGUGCAGAGGUAGGCGGAAUUCCCGGUGUAGCGGUGGAAUGCGUAGAUAUCGGGAGGAACACCAGUGGCGAAGGCGGCCUACUGGGCACCAACUGACGCUGAGGCUCGAAAGUGUGGGUACAAACAGGAUUAGAUACACUGGUAGUCCACACCGUAAACGAUGAUUACUAGGUGUUGGAGGAUUGACCCCUUCAGUGCCGCAGUUAACACAAUAAGUAAUCCACCUGGGGAGUACGACCGCAAGGUUGAAACUCAAAGGAAUUGACGGGGGCCCGCACAAGCAGUGGAGUAUGUGGUUUAAUUCGACGCAACGCGAAGAACCUUACCAAGUCUUGACAUCCCUUGACGAUGCUGGAAACAGUAUUUCUCUUCGGAGCAAGGAGACAGGUGGUGCAUGGUUGUCGUCAGCUCGUGUCGUGAGAUGUUGGGUUAAGUCCCGCAACGAGCGCAACCCUUACUGUCAGUUACUACGCAAGAGGACUCUGGCAGGACUGCCGUUGACAAAACGGAGGAAGGUGGGGAUGACGUCAAAUCAUCAUGCCCUUUAUGACUUGGGCUACACACGUACUACAAUGGCGUUAAACAAAGAGAAGCAAGACCGCGAGGUGGAGCAAAACUCAGAAACAACGUCCCAGUUCGGAAUGCAGGCUGCAACUCGCCUGCACGAAGUCGGAAUUGCUAGUAAUCGUGGAUCAGCAUGCCACGGUGAAUACGUUC
Molecule: ribosomal RNA, 1343 nt
Filed under: uncultured bacterium
Lineage: Bacteria
Description: 16S ribosomal RNA
Rfam family: Bacterial small subunit ribosomal RNA
Source: RNAcentral